CUACGGGUGGCUGCAGUCGAGAAUUUUUCACAAUGGGGGAAACCCUGAUGGAGCGACGCCGCGUGGAGGAUGAAGGCGUUUUCGUUGUAAACUCCUGUCAAACGGGAACAAGAAAGUGAUAGUACCGUUAGAGGAAGAGACGGCUAACUCUGUGCCAGCAGCCGCGGUAAUACAGAGGUCUCAAGCGUUGUUCGGAUUCAUUGGGCGUAAAGGGUGCGUAGGUGGCUUGUUAAGUUGAAGGUGAAAUCUCGGGGCUCAACUCCGAAACUGCCUUCAAUACUGGCGAGCUUGAGGACUGUAGAGGAGAAUGGAAUUCACGGUGUAGCAGUGAAAUGCGUAGAUAUCGUGAGGAAGACCAGUGGCGAAGGCGAUUCUCUGGGCAGUUCCUGACACUGAGGCACGAAGGCCAGGGGAGCAAACGGGAUUAGAUACCCCGGUAGUC
This 442-nucleotide ribosomal RNA is filed under the name uncultured bacterium. Its description in RNAcentral is "partial 16S ribosomal RNA". It matches the Rfam family "Bacterial small subunit ribosomal RNA", at positions 339 to 795 of the family's 1533-position model. The record is from RNAcentral.